This 1691-nucleotide ribosomal RNA is filed under the name Escherichia coli. RNAcentral describes it as "partial 23S ribosomal RNA". It matches the Rfam family "Bacterial large subunit ribosomal RNA", at positions 1244 to 2915 of the family's 2925-position model. The record is from RNAcentral. Lineage: Bacteria; Pseudomonadati; Pseudomonadota; Gammaproteobacteria; Enterobacterales; Enterobacteriaceae.
AAGCCUGCGAAGGUGUGCUGUGAGGCAUGCUGGAGGUAUCAGAAGUGCGAAUGCUGACAUAAGUAACGAUAAAGCGGGUGAAAAGCCCGCUCGCCGGAAGACCAAGGGUUCCUGUCCAACGUUAAUCGGGGCAGGGUGAGUCGACCCCUAAGGCGAGGCCGAAAGGCGUAGUCGAUGGGAAACAGGUUAAUAUUCCUGUACUUGGUGUUACUGCGAAGGGGGGACGGAGAAGGCUAUGUUGGCCGGGCGACGGUUGUCCCGGUUUAAGCGUGUAGGCUGGUUUUCCAGGCAAAUCCGGAAAAUCAAGGCUGAGGCGUGAUGACGAGGCACUGCGGUGCUGAAGCAACAAAUGCCCUGCUUCCAGGAAAAGCCUCUAAGCAUCAGGUAACAUCAAAUCGUACCCCAAACCGACACAGGUGGUCAGGUAGAGAAUACCAAGGCGCUUGAGAGAACUCGGGUGAAGGAACUAGGCAAAAUGGUGCCGUAACUUCGGGAGAAGGCACGCUGAUAUGUAGGUGAAGUCCCUCGCGGAUGGAGCUGAAAUCAGUCGAAGAUACCAGCUGGCUGCAACUGUUUAUUAAAAACACAGCACUGUGCAAACACGAAAGUGGACGUAUACGGUGUGACGCCUGCCCGGUGCCGGAAGGUUAAUUGAUGGGGUUAGCGCAAGCGAAGCUCUUGAUCGAAGCCCCGGUAAACGGCGGCCGUAACUAUAACGGUCCUAAGGUAGCGAAAUUCCUUGUCGGGUAAGUUCCGACCUGCACGAAUGGCGUAAUGAUGGCCAGGCUGUCUCCACCCGAGACUCAGUGAAAUUGAACUCGCUGUGAAGAUGCAGUGUACCCGCGGCAAGACGGAAAGACCCCGUGAACCUUUACUAUAGCUUGACACUGAACAUUGAGCCUUGAUGUGUAGGAUAGGUGGGAGGCUUUGAAGUGUGGACGCCAGUCUGCAUGGAGCCGACCUUGAAAUACCACCCUUUAAUGUUUGAUGUUCUAACGUUGACCCGUAAUCCGGGUUGCGGACAGUGUCUGGUGGGUAGUUUGACUGGGGCGGUCUCCUCCUAAAGAGUAACGGAGGAGCACGAAGGUUGGCUAAUCCUGGUCGGACAUCAGGAGGUUAGUGCAAUGGCAUAAGCCAGCUUGACUGCGAGCGUGACGGCGCGAGCAGGUGCGAAAGCAGGUCAUAGUGAUCCGGUGGUUCUGAAUGGAAGGGCCAUCGCUCAACGGAUAAAAGGUACUCCGGGGAUAACAGGCUGAUACCGCCCAAGAGUUCAUAUCGACGGCGGUGUUUGGCACCUCGAUGUCGGCUCAUCACAUCCUGGGGCUGAAGUAGGUCCCAAGGGUAUGGCUGUUCGCCAUUUAAAGUGGUACGCGAGCUGGGUUUAGAACGUCGUGAGACAGUUCGGUCCCUAUCUGCCGUGGGCGCUGGAGAACUGAGGGGGGCUGCUCCUAGUACGAGAGGACCGGAGUGGACGCAUCACUGGUGUUCGGGUUGUCAUGCCAAUGGCACUGCCCGGUAGCUAAAUGCGGAAGAGAUAAGUGCUGAAAGCAUCUAAGCACGAAACUUGCCCCGAGAUGAGUUCUCCCUGACUCCUUGAGAGUCCUGAAGGAACGUUGAAGACGACGACGUUGAUAGGCCGGGUGUGUAAGCGCAGCGAUGCGUUGAGCUAACCGGUACUAAUGAACCGUGAG